RNAcentral lists this ribosomal RNA (1752 nucleotides) under Salmonella enterica. Its description in RNAcentral is "partial 23S ribosomal RNA". It matches the Rfam family "Bacterial large subunit ribosomal RNA", at positions 1200 to 2925 of the family's 2925-position model. The record is from RNAcentral. Lineage: Bacteria; Pseudomonadati; Pseudomonadota; Gammaproteobacteria; Enterobacterales; Enterobacteriaceae.
CUGCGGCAGCGACGCUGAUGCGUUGUUGGGUAGGGGAGCGUUCUGUAAGCCUGUGAAGGUGGCCUGUGAGGGUUGCUGGAGGUAUCAGAAGUGCGAAUGCUGACAUAAGUAACGAUAAAGCGGGUGAAAAGCCCGCUCGCCGGAAGACCAAGGGUUCCUGUCCAACGUUAAUCGGGGCAGGGUGAGUCGACCCCUAAGGCGAGGCCGAAAGGCGUAGUCGAUGGGAAACGGGUUAAUAUUCCCGUACUUGGUGUUACUGCGAAGGGGGGACGGAGAAGGCUAUGUUGGCCGGGCGACGGUUGUCCCGGUUUAAGCGUGUAGGUGUGUGUUCCAGGUAAAUCCGGUUCACUUUAACACUGAGGCGUGAUGACGAGGCACUACGGUGCUGAAGCAACAAAUGCCCUGCUUCCAGGAAAAGCCUCUAAGCAUCAGGUAACAUCAAAUCGUACCCCAAACCGACACAGGUGGUCAGGUAGAGAAUACCAAGGCGCUUGAGAGAACUCGGGUGAAGGAACUAGGCAAAAUGGUGCCGUAACUUCGGGAGAAGGCACGCUGACAUGUAGGUGAAGUGAUUUACUCACGGAGCUGAAGUCAGUCGAAGAUACCAGCUGGCUGCAACUGUUUAUUAAAAACACAGCACUGUGCAAACACGAAAGUGGACGUAUACGGUGUGACGCCUGCCCGGUGCCGGAAGGUUAAUUGAUGGGGUCAGCGCAAGCGAAGCUCCUGAUCGAAGCCCCGGUAAACGGCGGCCGUAACUAUAACGGUCCUAAGGUAGCGAAAUUCCUUGUCGGGUAAGUUCCGACCUGCACGAAUGGCGUAAUGAUGGCCAGGCUGUCUCCACCCGAGACUCAGUGAAAUUGAACUCGCUGUGAAGAUGCAGUGUACCCGCGGCAAGACGGAAAGACCCCGUGAACCUUUACUAUAGCUUGACACUGAACAUUGAGCCUUGAUGUGUAGGAUAGGUGGGAGGCUUUGAAGUGUGGACGCCAGUCUGCAUGGAGCCGACCUUGAAAUACCACCCUUUAAUGUUUGAUGUUCUAACGUGGACCCGUGAUCCGGGUUGCGGACAGUGUCUGGUGGGUAGUUUGACUGGGGCGGUCUCCUCCUAAAGAGUAACGGAGGAGCACGAAGGUUGGCUAAUCCUGGUCGGACAUCAGGAGGUUAGUGCAAUGGCAUAAGCCAGCUUGACUGCGAGCGUGACGGCGCGAGCAGGUGCGAAAGCAGGUCAUAGUGAUCCGGUGGUUCUGAAUGGAAGGGCCAUCGCUCAACGGAUAAAAGGUACUCCGGGGAUAACAGGCUGAUACCGCCCAAGAGUUCAUAUCGACGGCGGUGUUUGGCACCUCGAUGUCGGCUCAUCACAUCCUGGGGCUGAAGUAGGUCCCAAGGGUAUGGCUGUUCGCCAUUUAAAGUGGUACGCGAGCUGGGUUUAGAACGUCGUGAGACAGUUCGGUCCCUAUCUGCCGUGGGCGCUGGAGAACUGAGGGGGGCUGCUCCUAGUACGAGAGGACCGGAGUGGACGCAUCACUGGUGUUCGGGUUGUCAUGCCAAUGGCACUGCCCGGUAGCUAAAUGCGGAAGAGAUAAGUGCUGAAAGCAUCUAAGCACGAAACUUGCCCCGAGAUGAGUUCUCCCUGAGACUUAGAGUCUCCUGAAGGAACGUUGAAGACGACGACGUUGAUAGGCCGGGUGUGUAAGCGCAGCGAUGCGUUGAGCUAACCGGUACUAAUGAACCGUGAGGCUUAACCUUACA